UGUCUCCUAUAUGACGCAGGCAGUAUCCUGCAUGACCAGGGCAGUGUCUCCUGUAUGACCGGGGCAGUGACUCCUGUAUGACAUGGGCAGUGACUCCUGUAUGACGUGGGAUUGUGGCUCCUGUAUUACCUGGGCAGUGACGCCUGUAUGACGUGGGAUUGUGGCUCCUGUAUGACCUGGGCAGUGACUCCUGUAUUACAAGGCAGUGACUCUGAUAUGACAAGCAGGGGUUCCCGUGUGAUGGGGCAGUGGCUCCUGAGUGACAUGGGCAGUGGUUCCAUUAUGAUAUUGGAGAGGCCAGGUCCAUCUUGUGCACACUUGGGGUGACUUUGGCAUUGUUACUGCAAGAUCAGUCAGCUGUGACCUGCAGACCAUCUUUGCUGGGGCAGGGAGAGUCAGGCCUGAGUCUGUCUCACAAAGGUCUUUGCAAAAAGUCACUUCUGCACCUAGAUCAGUCAGUGCCGAUUGAGAACUCCAGGAGUACCAAGGACGAGGCUUGGCUCAAGCAAAAUGUGAGCGGCCUGGAGGGAGUGGAGAUGCUUACAAAGGGUCUCCAUUCCAGGCAGUCCAGUGGCAGGCAACACCAAGACUAGCUGGGCCCUUGGAAGCAUCCGGGCCCACCUCACCAGGGCCUCCAGCCCGCACACCUGGCAGGGACGCUGUCACUCAGCACACAUUGAACAGAGAACUGACUGAAUACAGCCUCCUGCUGGCCGGGGCCUCCCUGGCCCAUGUGCUGCUGCUGAGGGUCCUCCCCCAGAGCACGGGAUCCUUCCACACCAAUGACUUUAAUCCGUUUCAAUAUCAGAGACCUGUGUAGGACUCUGGAAAUUCAGAGGGUGAUUGACUCUUUUCCCAAUAACUGCUGUGAAAAACAGAACAGAUGAAUUCUAGAAGAACGUCUGAAAUUCAAGCAUCCCAUGAAGUAUCUCCACUGGUGGGUUCCUUACAGCUAGUCAGCAAAUGAAACCAGAGUCGCCCACCAGUAUCCUGGUGAGUCAUCGCCAGCCUGAAUUAUUAGAAAGGGAUGGCUGUCCCGGCUGGCAUCUUCCCUUUCAUCUGCUGCUGUUCCCUUGUCCUGUGACAUCAGUGUUGUCAUCCUAUGAGAAUUGUCAACAUCACCUCAUGGGUAAGAAAUCAAUUCCUGCUACGUUCUCUACAGCUGCUUCUGUCUGGGAAUGAAGGAAGGCGUUUUAUUAUAAAAGAAAGUUUGUAUUCAAGUUUCUAUUCAUGGAACUUGAAGGAAUGGAACUUCCUGAAACCAGGAGGUUCAGAAAGAUAGGAAGAAGAUUAUCAUCUCAAAAGAACACGCCUCGUAUCAUCUGGUGGAAAGCAGGGGUGGGGAGAUGGUGCUCCGUGCUGCAAGUCAACCGGCAGUUUUGAGAAUGCCAUAAAUUGGAUUAAGGAUUGCACGUCGGAAAAUAAAGUUGUCUGCUGAUAUGGGGCCUUUUCAUUUGGGGCUGUGGCAAACCUCAUAAGCCUGCAGCACUUCUGAGAAUGGAGCCAAACCAGGGCAUUCAAUCGCAGAGGUUAAAGUGAUUCUUCCACUGAGUUAAUCUAAAUCUAGAUCAUAUUGAAUCUGCCUCCUGUCUGGCAUGGAAACGUUUUCCAAGGUAUUCACGUUGAAAGUAUGAAUUACCCACACUCUCCUUAAAGCCCCAUCCAAUUAAAAGUAGAUGAAAAUCUCCUUGAUGCCAAGGACUUUAAAACAUGCCGGGGGUAUGAGAGAUAUAUAUUUACAGGAAAUCUGAUAGAAAAUACAACCAUGUAACCUGCGGGCGAGUCUGAGAAGAUGUUUACUCAGGACUUGUGUUUCUUUUUAAAACAAUUACUUUCGUUAUGUAUCUAAAGUGCCUCCUGUGUCCUUUCGGAUAAAGACAGAUUAGGCCUUUACUCAAGAAUGAAUCAGAAGCCCUGGCAUUCUAGGCAGCUAGAGAGUUUGUAUUCACUUUCAGAAAACCGAAAAAGAAAUCCGAUGAAAGAGACCAACAAGGAAAAGUAAUGUUUUCUUUGAAAUGGAAAUAUGCUUAGAGAGGAAGUGGUCACUGGAGUCUUAAAAAAA
Molecule: long non-coding RNA, 2062 nt
Organism: Sapajus apella (tufted capuchin)
Lineage: Eukaryota; Metazoa; Chordata; Mammalia; Primates; Cebidae
Exons: 2
Source: RefSeq, a predicted model, not a curated record